RNAcentral lists this ribosomal RNA (305 nucleotides) under uncultured bacterium. RNAcentral describes it as "bacterial SSU rRNA". It matches the Rfam family "Bacterial small subunit ribosomal RNA", at positions 337 to 634 of the family's 1533-position model. The record is from RNAcentral.
UCCUACGGGACGCAGCAGUGGGGGAUAUUGGACAAUGGGGGAAACCCUGAUCCAGCGAUGCCGCGUGGGUGAAGAAGGUCUUCGGAUCGUAAAACCCUGUUGUUAGAGAAGAAAGUGCGUGAGAGUAACUGUUCACGUUUCGACGGUAUCUAACCAGAAAGCCACGGCUAACUACGUGCCAGCAGCCGCGGUAAUACGUAGGUGGCAAGCGUUAUCCGGAUUUAUUGGGCGUAAAGGGAACGCAGGCGGUCUUUUAAGUCUGAUGUGAAAGCCUUCGGCUUAACCGGAGUAGUGCAUUGGAAACU